AAAAUCUUUCAAGUUUGCAGCAGAAAACCUGUGAAACUGUAGGUGAAAAAUUAAUGUCCAUUCACAAAAUAAAGGCUUAUCCAGAUGUAAUGAAAAGAAUCUUUGGACCAAGACUGCCAGUUUUCUCGAAGGAAGAAUCAGAACAAGUGAAAGGCUCAUCUGACUUUGUAGGAAUCAUUCACUAUCUUGCUGCUUCUGUCUCAAAAUCCGAAACUUCUCUUCUUCCAGGGGACUCCGAUUUCUUCUGAGACAUGGACGUUUAAUUCUUUGACUUGUGUGAAUCAUAACUAAAAUAACUCUUUGCUCUAUUUUUUCUUUUGUUAUCUCCACCGAUGUUUCUUGUGUUUAUGCUGAUCAUCAUCUUAUCUUCUUCUUUGUUUUACUGCUUUGGGAAGGGCAGACUUCGGGAAUUUCUCAGCUUUCCAGUAUGAUGUUGCCCCAUGGGCUAUGGAAGGUCUCCUAGAGUACAUAAAACAGAGUUAUGCCAAUCCUCCUGUCUACAUUCUUGAGAAUGGUCUCUCUCUCUCUUCCUCUCUUUCUCUCUUGUUUUUGUCUGAGUGAGUCUGCUCAAUUCCCUUGCCCAUGCAAACGAACACGUAAACCAAUGAAGCAAGACUUGCAGCUGCAAGAGAAGAACACACCAAGGAUUGAGUUCUUACAUGUUUACAUUGGUGCUGUUCUUAAAGCCGUUAGGAAUGGAUCAGAUACGAGAGGCUACUUAGUUUUGGAUUGUACUCUGCUGAUUUCAGCGAUCCUCAACUCAUCGCAAGAGAUCAUCCAAACUCUCUGCUCAUUGGUACUCUGCUUUCCUCAAGGGCAGUACCACCUUUCUUGGUUCCCAAGGCAUCACGAAAUUGCAGAGCAACUUAUCUUCCUUAUACUACUAGUCUUUUUGUUGCAUUUAUAUGGUUAAAGUCCGAUAAUUGAAUAUGAUAACGCUUAUUGUUUAGCUACAUGAUCUCCGUUGUU
This is a long non-coding RNA of Raphanus sativus (radish), 969 nucleotides long. RefSeq lists it as uncharacterized. The transcript has 3 exons. NCBI's taxonomy places the organism in Eukaryota, Viridiplantae, Streptophyta, Magnoliopsida, Brassicales, Brassicaceae. The record is from RefSeq and is a predicted model, not a curated record.